This is a non-coding RNA of Chlorocebus sabaeus (green monkey), 16702 nucleotides long. The record is from RefSeq and is a predicted model, not a curated record. NCBI's taxonomy places the organism in Eukaryota, Metazoa, Chordata, Mammalia, Primates, Cercopithecidae.
GGCGGCGGCGGCGGCGCCGAGAGUGUGAGCACUGCCCGGCAGCCGCCGGCCCGGGCGCAGCGCGACCCCGACCCCGCCCGCCCGCCUGCCCGCCAUGGGCAACGAGGCCAGCCUGGAGGGCGGCGCUGGCGACGGGCCGCUGCCGCCCGGAGGCGCCGGCCCCGGCCCCGGCCCCGGCCCCAGCCCCGGCGCAGGAAAGCCUCCUUCAGCACCGGCCGGCGGCGGACAGCUCCCCGCGGCUGGAGCAGCGCGGUCGACCGCUGUACCACCGGUCCCUGGCCCCGGCCCCGGCCCCGGCCCCGGCCCUGGCCCGGGCAGCACUUCCCGGAGACUGGACCCCAAGGAACCCCUGGGUAGCCAGAGAGCAGCUUCCCCAACUCCGAAACAAGCUUCUGCUACCACUCCUGGCCAAGAGAGCCCCCGGGAGACAAGGGCACAGGGACCAGCAGGCCAGGAGGCUGAUGGUCCCCGCAGGACACUGCAGGUAGACAGCAGGACACAGAGAUCAGGGCGGUCCCCCUCAGUGUCACCGGACAGAGGCAGCACCCCUACAUCACCCUACUCCGUCCCUCAGAUCGCUCCCCUUCCCAGCAGCACGCUAUGUCCCAUAUGCAAGACUUCGGACCUCACGUCGACCCCCAGCCAGCCAAACUUCAACACCUGCACCCAGUGUCACAACAAGGUCUGCAACCAGUGUGGGUUCAACCCCAACCCUCAUCUCACCCAGGUGAAGGAGUGGCUCUGUCUGAACUGUCAGAUGCAGAGGGCUCUGGGAAUGGACAUGACCACUGCACCUCGCUCCAAGAGCCAGCAGCAGCUGCACUCCCCAGCCCUGUCUCCUGCCCACUCCCCGGCCAAACAGCCCCUGGGGAAGCCAGAGCAAGAGAGAUCUCGGGGUCCAGGAGGACUACAGCCUGGGUCCCGCCAGGGUGAGACGGCCAGGGCCACCUCAGUGCCAGAGCCUGCCCAAGCAGCUGCCCCUCCAGAGGUGGGGAGGGUGUCUCCUCAGCCCCCUCAACCCACCAAGCCUUCCACAGCUGAGCCCAGGCCACCUGCAGGAGAGGCCCCAGCCAAAAGUGCCACUGCAGUGCCCACUGGGCUUGGUGCCACCGAGCAGACCCAGGAGGGCCUCACUGGUAAGCUCUUCGGCCUUGGCGCAUCGCUGCUAACCCAGGCGAGCACCCUCAUGUCUGUGCAGCCUGAGGCUGACACCCAGGGCCAGCCUGGCCCCAGCAAGGGGUCACCCAAGAUCGUCUUCAGUGAUGCCAGCAAGGAGGCUGGCCCAAAACCCUUGGGCUUAGGGCCCGGACCCGGGCCAGCACCUGGAGCCAAAACUGAGCCUGGGGCUAGAACGGGUCCAACGGGUCCUGGAUCUGGACCUGGAGCCCUGCCGAAAACUGGGGGAACAACCAGUCCAAAGCAUGGAAGAGCAGAACAUCAGGCAGCAUCGAAGGCUGCUGCCAAGCCAAAGACCAUGCCGAAGGAAAGGGCCACCUGCCCACUGUGCCAAGCCGAGCUUAAUGUGGGCAGCAAGAGCCCAGCCAACUAUAACACAUGCACUACCUGCAGGCUCCAGGUGUGCAACCUGUGUGGCUUUAACCCAACACCCCACUUGGUGGAGAAAACAGAGUGGCUGUGUCUGAACUGCCAAACCAAGCGGCUACUGGAGGGCAGCCUGGGAGAGCCGACCCCUGUGCUGCCACCCACCUCACAGCAGCCCCCUGUGGGGGCCCCUCACCGUGCAUCUGGAGCAUCCCCUCUGAAGCAGAAAGGGUCACAGGGGCUGGGCCAGCCAUCAGGCCCCCUGCCUGCCAAGGCCAGCCCUUUACCCACCAAGGCCAGCCCUCUAUCCACCAAGGCCAGCCCUCUGCCCACCAAGGCCAGCCCCCAGGCCAAGCCCCUCAGAGCUUCUGAACCCAGCAAGACCCCAAGCAGUGCCCAGGAAAAGAAGACCGGAGUCCCCACUAAAGCUGAGCCCAUGUCGAAGCCACCUCCAGAGACUACCCCAACCCCUGGGACUCCUAAAGUAAAGAGUGGGGUGAGGAGGGCUGAACCUGCCACCCCUGUCGUCAAGGCUGUUCCAGAAGCCCCCAAGGGUGGGGAGGCGGAGGACCUGGUGGGCAAGCCUUACUCUCAGGACAUGUCUCGGAGCCCACAGAGCCUCAGUGACACAGGCUAUUCCUCCGACGGCAUCUCUAGCUCCCAGAGUGAGAUCACAGGAGUCGUGCAGCAGGAGGUGGAACAGCUGGACAGCGCAGGGGUGACAGGGCCACAUCCACCCAGCCCCUCCGAGAUCCACAAGGUGGGGAGCAGCAUGCGGCCUUUGCUGCAGGCCCAGGGCCUGGCCCCCAGUGGUGAGCGGAGCAAGCCACUCUCCAGCAGUACUGGCGAGGAGCAGAAGCAGCGGCCCCACUCCUUGUCCAUCACGCCUGAGGCCUUUGACUCUGAUGAGGAGCUGGAGGAUAUCCUGGAGGAAGACGAAGACUCUGUUGAGUGGAGGCGCCGGAGAGAGAAGCAGGACACUGCUGAGUCCUCAGACGACUUUGGCAGCCAACUGAGGCAUGACUAUGUGGAGGACAGCAGUGAGGGUGGCCUGUCACCUCUUCCACCCCAGCCCCCAGCCCGGGCAGCAGAAUUGACUGAUGAGGAGUUCAUGCGACGGCAGAUUCUGGAGAUGAGCGCCGAGGAAGACAACCUGGAGGAGGAUGACACUGCCACCUCCGGGCGUGGCCUGGCCAAACAUGGCACCCAGAAGGGUGGCCCCAGACCCAGGCCUGAGCCUAGCCAAGAACCAGCACCACUGCCCAAGAGGCGCCUGCCCCACAAUGCCACCACAGGCUAUGAGGAGCUGCUCCCUGAGGGAGGCCCAGCAGAAGCUACCGAUGGCAGUGGGGCCCUGCAGGGUGGGCUCCGUCGCUUCAAGACCAUUGAGCUCAACAGCACGGGCAGUUAUAGUCAUGAGCUGGACCUGGGCCAAGGCCCAGACCCCAGUCUGGACCGGGAGCCCGAGCUGGAGAUGGAGAGCCUGACAGGCUCCCCUGAGGACCGUUCCCGUGGUGAGCACUCCUCUACACUGCCUGCCUCCACACCCAGCUACACCUCAGGCACCUCUCCCACCUCUCUGUCCUCCCUAGAGGAGGACAGUGACAGCAGCCCCAGCCGCAGGCAGCGUCUAGAAGAAGCGAAGCAGCAGCGCAAGGCCCGGCACCGUUCCCAUGGGCCCCUGCUACCCACCAUUGAGGACUCUUCGGAGGAGGAGGAGCUGCGGGAGGAAGAGGAGCUACUGCGUGAGCAAGAGAAGAUGCGGGAGGUGGAGCAGCAGCGCAUCCGCAGCACGGCCCGCAAGACCCGGCGGGACAAGGAAGAGCUGCGGGCCCAGCGGAGGCGAGAGCGCUCUAAGACACCACCCAGUAACUUGUCACCCAUUGAGGAUGCCUCCCCCACGGAGGAGCUGAGGCAGGCGGCCGAGAUGGAGGAGCUGCACCGCUCCUCCUGCUCCGAGUACUCACCCUCGCCCUCCCUUGACUCUGAGGCUGAGGCCUUGGAUGGUGGCCCUAGCCGGCUUUACAAGUCAGGCAGUGAGUACAACCUGCCCACCUUCAUGUCCCUCUACUCACCAACCGAGACACCCUCUGGCAGCUCCACCACUCCCAGUUCCGGACGGCCCCUCAAGAGCGCCGAGGAGGCUUAUGAGGAGAUGAUGCGCAAAGCUGAGCUGCUUCAGAGGCAGCAAGGCCAGGCGGCAGGGGCCCGGGGACCCCAUGGCGGCCCCUCUCAGCCCACAGGCCCCAGGGGCCUGGGCUCCUUCGAAUAUCAAGACACUGCAGACCAUGACUAUGGCCGGGCUGCUCAGCCUGCCGCAGAGGGCACGCCAGCCAGCCUGGGAGCAGCUGUGUAUGAAGAAAUCCUUCAGACAUCACAGAGCAUAGUCCGCAUGCGGCAGGCCUCCUCACGAGACCUGGCUUUUGCUGAGGACAAAAAGAAGGAGAAGCAGUUUCUAAAUGCUGAGAGUGCAUACAUGGACCCAAUGAAGCAAAAUGGUGGCCCCCUUACCCCUGGUACCAGUCCCACCCAGCUCACGGCCCCUGUGUCCUUCUCUACCCCCACCUCCUCAGACAGCAGCGGGGGCCGAGUUAUUCCCGAUGUCCGUGUCACUCAGCAUUUUGCAAAGGAGACUCAGGACCCCCUCAAGCUGCACAGCUCUCCUGCCUCCCCCAGCUUAACCUCCAAGGAGGUAGGCAUGCCCUUUUCCCAGGGCCCUGGGACCCCAGCCACCACAGCUGUGGCUCCUUGUCCGGCUGGGCUGCCACGAGGAUAUAUGACUCCAGCCUCCCCAGCAGGCUCCGAGCGCAGUCCUUCACCAUCUUCCACAGCCCACAGCUAUGGACACAGCCCAACCACUGCAAACUAUGGGUCCCAAACUGAGGAUCUACCCCAGGCCCCCAUUGGCCUUGCUGCAGCUGGACAGGCUGCUAGAGAGAAGCCCCUGAGUGCGAGUGAUGGUGAGGGUGGCACUCCUCAGCCUUCCCGGGCAUAUUCCUACGUUGCAAGCUCCAGCCCACCUCUCUCCCCAUCUUCCCCCUCAGAGAGUCCCACAUUCUCCCCUGGCAAGCUGCGCCCAAGGGCCACAGCAGAGUUCUCUACACAGACGCCAAGUCCAGCCCCUGCCUCAGACAUGCCACGGAGCCCUGGUGCCCCCACUCCAUCACCUAUGGUAGCUCAGGGCACACAAACACCACAUCGACCCAGCACACCUCGCCUGGUGUGGCAGGAGUCCUCUCAGGAGGCUCCCUUUAUGGUCAUCACACUGGCAUCAGACGCCUCCAGCCAGACCAGAAUGGUACAUGCCAGUGCCUCCACCUCCCCGCUCUGCUCACCUACUGAAAUCCAGCCCACCACCCAUGGCUACAGCCAGACAACACCUCCGAGUGUGUCUCAGCUGCCCCCAGAGCCACCUGGGCCACCUGGCUUUCCACGGGCACCCAGUGCUGGUGCGGACGGGCCCCUGGCACUAUAUGGCUGGGGUGCCCUCCCUGCUGAGAACAUCUCCCUGUGCCGGAUCUCCUCUGUCCCUGGGACAUCUAGGGUUGAGCCAGGCCCCAGGCCCCCUGGCACUGCAGUGGUAGACCUCCGCACAGCUGUCAAGCCCACUCCCAUCAUCCUCACUGACCAGGGCAUGGACCUCACCUCUCUUGCUGUGGAAGCGAGGAAGUAUGGUCUUGCCCUGGAUCCAAUCCCAGGACGGCAGUCGACUGCCGUGCAGCCCUUGGUUAUCAACCUCAAUGCCCAGGAGCAGACCCAUACCUUCCUUGCCACUGCCACCACAGUGAGCAUCACCAUGGCCUCGUCUGUGCUCAUGGCUCAACAAAAGCAGCCUGUGGUCUAUGGAGACCCCUACCAGAGCCGCCUUGAUUUUGGCCAGGGUGGGGGUAGCCCUGUGUGCCUGGCCCAGGUCAAACAAGUGGAGCAGGCUGUCCAGACAGCCCCAUACCGAAGUGGGCCCCGGGGAAGACCCAGGGAGGCCAAGUUUGCCAGAUAUAAUCUGCCCAACCAAGUAGCACCUCUGGCCAGAAGGGACGUUUUGAUCACUCAGAUGGGCACCGCCCAGAGCAUUGGCCUCAAGCCAGGCCCAGUGCCAGAGCUGGGUGCCGAGCCCCACCGGGCUACCCCUGCAGAGUUGCGGUCACAUGCUCUGCCAGGUGCCAGGAAGCCACACACAGUGGUGGUGCAGAUGGGAGAGGGCACAGCAGGCACUGUGACCACACUGCUCCCAGAGGAGCCUGCGGGUGCCCUGGACCUUACCGGGAUGAGGCCUGAGAGCCAGCUGGCAUGCUGUGACAUGGUCUACAAGCUCCCCUUUGGCAGCAGCUGCACUGGCACCUUCCACCCAGCCCCCAGUGUGCCUGAGAAGAGCAUGGCAGAUACUGCCCCACCUGGCCAAAGCAGUGGCCCCUUCUAUGGUCCCCGGGACCCUGAGCCUCCUGAGCCCCCCACCUACCGGGCACAGGGGGCUGUGGGGCCUGGGCCCCAUGAGGAGCAGAGGCCCUACCCACAAGGCCUGCCUGGUAGGCUGUACUCCUCCAUGUCUGACACCAAUUUGGCUGAGGCUGGCCUCAACUACCAUGCCCAGAGGAUCGGGCAGCUCUUCCAGGGUCCUGGACGAGAGUCAGCUAUGGACCUCAGCUCACUGAAGCACUCCUACAGUCUGGGCUUUGCAGACGGACGCUACCUAGGGCAGGGCUUGCAGUAUGGCUCAGUCACGGACCUGCGUCAUCCUACAGACCUUUUGGCUCACCCGCUUCCUAUGCGGCGCUAUAGCUCAGUGUCAAACAUCUAUUCAGACCACAGGUACGGCCCACGGGGAGAGGCAGUUGGCUUCCAGGAGGCCAGCCUGGCCCAGUACAGUGCCACCACAGCCCGUGAAAUCAGUCGCAUGUGCGCUGCCCUCAACUCCAUGGACCAGUAUGGUGGGCGGCAUGGCAUUGGUGGUGGUGGCCCUGACCUUGUGCAGUACCAGCCUCAGCACGGGCCCGGGCUCAGUGCUCCGCAGAGUCUGGCUCCCCUCAGACCUGGACUCCUUGGUAACCCCACCUUUCCAGAGGGCCACCCAAGUCCUGGGAACUUUGCCCAGUAUGGGCCUGCAGCAGGCCAGGGAACAGCAGUCAGACAGCUGCUGCCGUCCACAGCCACUGUACGUGCAGCUGAUGGCAUGAUCUACUCGACUAUCAAUACCCCAAUUGCUGCAACACUGCCCAUCACCACCCAGCCUGCCUCAGUCCUGCGGCCCAUGGUGCGUGGUGGCAUGUACAGGCCUUAUGCAUCUGGUGGAAUCACAGCCGUGCCACUCACCAGUCUGACACGUGUGCCCAUGAUUGCCCCCCGGGUACCUCUUGGACCCACAGGGCUGUACCGAUAUCCUGCACCAAGUAGAUUUCCCAUUGCUUCCAGUGUUCCACCUGCAGAAGGGCCUGUCUAUCUGGGGAAACCUGCUGCUGCCAAGGCCUCCGGGGCUGGGGGCCCUCCAAGGCCAGAGAUACCAGUAGGGGCUGUACGGGAAGAGCCUCUUCCCACAACCACCCCUGCUGCCAUCAAGGAGGCUGCAGGAGCCCCAGCUCCUGCCCCACUAGCUGGCCAGAAGCCACCAGUAGAUGCUGCUCCUGGGGGUGGCAGUGGGGCCCUCAGCCGGUCAGGGCUCGAGAAAGAGGAAGCAUCACAGGAGGAGAGGCAGCGGAAGCAACAGGAGCAGCUGCUCCAGCUAGAGCGGGAGCGGGUGGAGUUGGAGAAGCUGCGACAACUUCGGCUGCAAGAGGAGCUAGAGCGGGAACGUGUGGAGCUGCAGAGACACCGUGAGGAGGAGCAGCUGCUGGUGCAGCGGGAAUUGCAGGAACUGCAGACCAUCAAGCACCAUGUGCUGCAGCAGCAGCAAGAGGAACGCCAGGCUCAAUUUGCACUGCAGCGGGAACAGCUAGCGCAGCAGCGUCUGCAGCUGGAGCAGAUCCAGCAGCUGCAGCAGCAGCUGCAGCAGCAGCUAGAGGAGCAGAAGCAGCGGCAGAAGGCUCCCUUUCCUGCAGCCUGUGAGGCACCUGGCCGAGGGCCUCCCCUAGCGGCUGCUGAGCUGGCCCAGAAUGGCCAGUAUUGGCCCCCGCUUACCCAUGCAGCCUUCAUUGCCAUGGCAGGGCCUGAAGGACCUGGGCAACCUCGUGAGCCUGUCUUGCACCGGGGUCUCCCCAGCUCUGCCUCAGACAUGUCACUGCAAACAGAGGAGCAGUGGGAGGCCAGCCGUGGUGGCAUCAAGAAGCGGCACUCCAUGCCACGCCUGCGGGAUGCCUGUGAGCCAGAGUCUGCGGCUGAGCCCUGUAUGGUCAGGAGGAUUGCCGACAGCAGCGUGCAGACAGACGAUGAGGAUGGGGAGGGCCGCUACCUCUUGAGUCGGCGACGCCGGGCACGGCGGAGUGCUGACUGCAGCGUGCAGACGGACGACGAGGACAGUGCUGAGUGGGAGCAGCCAGUGCGCCGCCGCAGGUCUCGUCUUCCCCGCCACUCAGACUCAGGCUCUGACAGCAAGCACGAUGCCACUGCCUCGUCAUCCAGUGCUGCUGCCACUGUGAGGGCCAUGAGCAGUGUGGGCAUCCAGACCAUCAGUGACUGCUCUGUGCAGACGGAGCCUGACCAGCUGCCCAGGGUCUCUCCAGCCAUCCACAUCACAGCUGCCACCGAUCCCAAGGUGGAGAUCGUCAGGUACAUAUCGGCGCCAGAGAAGACUGGGCGCGGGGAGAGCCUGGCCUGCCAGACGGAGCCAGAUGGGCAGGCCCAGGGUGUAGCCGGGCCGCAGCUUGUAGGGCCAACUGCCAUCAGCCCCUACCUGCCUGGCAUCCAGAUCGUCACCCCAGGGCCUCUGGGCAGAUUUGAAAAAAAGAAGCCAGAUCCCCUGGAGAUUGGGUACCAGGCCCACCUGCCUCCGGAGUCUCUCUCACAGCUUGUGAGCCGCCAGCCUCCCAAGUCCCCUCAGGUCCUCUACUCACCAGUCUCACCCCUGUCCCCUCACCGGCUCCUGGACACCUCCUUUGCUUCCAGUGAGAGGCUGAACAAGGCUCAUGUGAGUCCCCAGAAGCACUUCACGGCUGACAGCGCUCUCCGCCAGCAGACGCUGCCUCGCCCCAUGAAGACCCUGCAGCGGUCCUUGUCUGACCCUAAGCCCCUCAGCCCCACCGCUGAAGAGUCUGCCAAAGAGAGAUUCUCCCUCUACCAGCACCAGGGGGGACUGGGUAGCCAGGUGUCGGCGUUGCCACCCAACAGCCUGGUCCGCAAGGUGAAGCGGACACUGCCCAGCCCCCCUCCAGAGGAGGCUCACCUUCCCCUGGCUGGCCAGGCCUCCCCACAGCUGUAUGCAGCCAGCCUGCUGCAGCGAGGGCUGACGGGGCCCACCGCUGUCCCUGCUACCAAGGCCAGCCUGCUCCGGGAGCUGGACCGGGACCUGCGGCUGGUGGAGCAUGAGUCCACCAAGCUGCGCAAGAAGCAGGCGGAGCUGGAUGAGGAGGAGAAGGAGAUUGACGCCAAGCUCAAGUACCUGGAGCUGGGUAUCACACAACGCAAAGAGUCUUUGGCCAAAGACCGGGGUGGCCGUGACUACCCACCCUUGCGUGGUCUUGGUGAGCAUCGUGACUACCUGUCGGACAGUGAACUCAACCAGCUGCGGCUCCAGGGCUGCACCACUCCCGCUGGCCAGUACGUGGACUUCCCUGCCACUGCCACUGCUCCUGCCGCCCCCUCUGGUCCCACUGCCUUCCAGCAGGCCCGCUUCCAGCCUCCGACCCCACAGUAUUCUGCAGGCAGUGGUGGGCCAACUCAGAAUGGAUUCCCUGCCCACCAGGCCCCCACCUACCCUGGCCCCAACACGUACCCAGCUCCUGCCUUUCCUCCUGGCACCAGUUACCCAGCUGAGCCUGGCCUGCCAAACCAGCAGGCUUUCCGUCCCACAGGCCACUAUGCAGGUCAAACACCCAUGCCAACCACACAGAGCACCCUUUUUCCAGUCCCCACUGAUAGCCGUGCCCCACUGCAGAAGCCACACCAGACAUCGCUAGCUGACUUGGAGCAGAAGGUGCCCACCAACUAUGAGGUGAUCGCCAGCCCCGUUGUGGCCAUGUCUUCAGCCCCAUCUGAAACCAGCUACAGUGGCUCAGCAGUGAGCAGCGGCUAUGAGCAGGGCAAGGUCCCUGAGGUGCCCCGGGCUGGUGAACGUGGCAGUGCAAGCCAGAGUCCAGCCCCCACCUACCCCUCUGAUUCACACUAUACCAGUCUGGAGCAGAACGUUCCUCGAAACUACGUAAUGAUUGAUGACAUCAGUGAACUGACCAAGGACAGCACCUCUACUGCUCCUGAUAGCCAGCGGCUGGAGCCCCUGGGGCCAGGCAGCAGUGGGCGUCCAGGGAAGGAGCUUGGAGAACCAGGUGUCCUUGAGGGGCCUACACUGCCCUGCUGCUAUGCCAGAGGAGAAGAGGAAUCUGAGGAGGACUCAUACGACCCCCGCGGGAAGGGUGGCCACCUCCGGAGCAUGGAGAGCAAUGGUCGACCAGCCAGUAGCCACUACUAUGGUGACAGUGACUACAGGCAUGGGGCUCGAGCAGAGAAGUAUGGUCCAGGGCCCAUGGGGCCCAAGCAUCCCUCCAAGAGCCUGGCUCCAGCUGCCAUCUCCUCAAAGCGCAGCAAGCACCGGAAGCAGGGCAUGGAACAAAAGAUCUCCAAGUUCUCACCUAUUGAAGAGGCCAAGGACGUGGAGUCGGACCUGGCGUCCUACCCCCCACCUGCAGUCAGCAGCAGCCUGGUCUCUCGGGGCAGGAAGUUCCAGGAUGAAAUCACCUAUGGGCUCAAGAAGAAUGUGUAUGAGCAGCAGAGAUAUUAUGGGAUGUCCACCCGGGACACAGUGGAGGAGGACGACCGCAUUUAUGGUGGGAGCAGCCGGUCCCGGGCACCUUCUGCAUACAGUGGGGAGAAGCUGUCCAGCCACGACUUCAGUGGCCGGGGCAAGGGGUAUGAAAGGGAACGGGAGGCUGUGGAGCGACUUCAAAAAGCGGGCCCCAAGCCCUCAUCCCUAAGUAUGGCCCACAGCCGGGCACGACCCCCCAUGCGGAGCCAGGCCUCUGAAGAGGAGAGCCCCGUCAGCCCCUUGGGGAGGCCCCGCCCUGCCGGAGGGCCCCUCCCUCCCGGCGGGGAUACCUGCCCACAGUUCUGCUCCAGUCACUCCAUGCCUGAUGUCCAGGAGCAUGUCAAGGACGGACCUCGGGCCCACGCAUAUAAGCGUGAGGAGGGCUACAUCCUGGAUGAUUCCCACUGCGUGGUUUCCGACAGCGAAGCUUAUCACCUGGGCCAGGAGGAGACGGACUGGUUUGAUAAGCCCCGGGAUGCCCGCUCUGACCGGUUCAGGCACCACGGGGGCCAUGCAGUUUCCUCCUCCUCCCAGAAGCGAGGCCCUGCCAGGCACAGCUACCAUGACUACGAUGAACCCCCUGAGGAGGGCCUGUGGCCUCAUGAUGAGGGUGGCCCAGGCCGCCAUGCCUCAGCCAAGGAACACCGGCAUCACGGUGACCACGGGCGGCACUCAGGCCGCCACACUGGUGAGGAGCCAGGACGGCGUGCUGCCAAACCACACGCUCGGGACCUGGGUCGCCAUGAGGCCCGGCCCCACUCUCAGCCCAGCUCUGCUCCAGCUAUGCCGAAGAAGGGUCAGCCUGGGUACCCCAGCUCUGCUGAGUACUCACAGCCAUCCCGUGCUCCAUCCGCAUACCAUCAUGCCUCUGACAGCAAGAAGGGCUCCCGGCAAGCCCACCCCGGGCCCGCUGCACUGCAGUCAAAAGCAGAACCCCAGGCACAGCCACAGUUGCAAGGUCGGCAGGCAGCUCCAGGACCACAACAGUCACAGUCACCAUCAUCCAGGCAAAUGCCCUCUGGGGCAGCAUCGCGCCAGCCACAGCCACAGCAGCAGCAGCAGCAGCAGCAGCAACAGCAAGGUCUUGGGCUGCAGCCCCCACAACAGGCUCCGACGCAGGCUCGGCUGCAGCAACAGAGCCAGCCAACCGCCCGGGGCUCAGCCCCUGCUGCCAGCCAGCCUGCAGGGAAGCCUCAGCCAGGCCCCACCACAGCCACAGGCCCUCAACCAGCAGGACCGCCACGGGCAGAACAGACAAAUGGCUCUAAAGGGACAGCCAAAGCACCGCAACAGGGGAGGGGUCCUCAGGCCCAGCCAACGCCAGGACCUGGACCUGCAGGUGUGAAGGCUGGAGCCAGGCCUGGAGGAACCCCAGGGGCUCCCACCAGCCAGCCAGGUGCCGAUGGGGAGAGCGUGUUUUCCAAGAUCCUCCCUGGCGGGGCAGCAGAGCAAGCUGGCAAACUGACGGAAGCUGUCUCUGCUUUUGGCAAAAAAUUUUCCUCAUUCUGGUGACCAUGCCCAGCAUGGCUCUUGAAGAAAUGAAGAGAGGUAUCAUUGCUGUGGAAAAAUCUCUGGAGUCAGAGGUCUGGGCGCAGCUCUGGACUCUGCGUAUAACACGGGCUUCCUGCAGCUUUCCACUCAGCCGAUGUUUCCUUGGAGUUGCCCUGGAACAGAUGUGAAAUCACAAGUGGUGCUAAGAGGAGGGGAAGGAGGGACAGCCCAUGGCCUGGAUUCAUGGCAGUACCUACCUUGGGUUUGGGGCCAGGGUAUGGUUCCUGAACAGGGAAAGGAAGCACAGACACAGCUUUGUUCUGCGUCCUGCCACAUGGUGUGGGUGGGCCACUGAGACCACUCACCUUAUAGUUAAAGAAAUCUCCCUCAAAUUCUAGCAUUCGGCUAAUGAUUGGGUCAAGUGGACAGUGCUGCCGUGAGUAUCCCUCUCCUGAAGUUCUUUAUGACAAUUUCAGAGAUGGGCUUGGAGAGGUUUGCCAUUUCAAACCAAAUCCCAUCUCCAUCACUCUUAAGGCAAAAAAAAAAAAGGAACUUUUGUUACAUUAAAAGAAGUGUCCCUUCCUGGCUGACCUGAUUCUUCUUUCUUGCUGUCCUCUCUGUGACCUCCAACCUGCCCAAGCACCCAUUUCCCCAAGCCUAAGUGGCAUGGCACCUCAUGGGUGAGGAGGUGGCCACUGGCACAGGCAGAUGGCUGAGAGAAAUGUGAGGGUGAGAAGCAGCUAUCUACAGUUCUUGACAGAAUCCUUUCUUUUCUUCUUUCCUUCCUCCCUCCCUCCUUUUCUCUUUCAAGCAUCUACAAUCUGGCACACCCUUGGCCCAAAGACUCACCAGGUGGGACAUGGCAGGCAGGCCUCAGUUGAGGACGUGAUGUUUUCUCACAGCAGCUGCCUGGGUGAAGCAUCUACUGGACAAGUUGGACCAUUGGCCGGGGGACCUUUAAUUGUCUUUCCAGAGAUGCUGCUCUCUGCAGGGCACCACCUUCAAGGCACAGCUCUCGUUGGGAGGGAGGACCCUCUCUAGAAACCCUGCCACCACGUUGUCUUGCCGUACUUCCCACAGCCGCCUUUUUGCGGCUUGGCCGGCCAGGCUUCCAAUGCGUUAUACACAGAGUUUGGGCACACACUGCCCUCCCUCCGAGAUGCCAGAAGUUUUUCCACAGCCUUGGAGCGGGGCUUUGACUGAGGGCUGGGGCCCCCCAGCUCCGUUUCCUUCACAUUCCAGCUGGCCCGGAUCCCUCUGUGGCACAGGGCCCUGCCCCUGUCACCUGCCCUCUGGGUGACAUCGGAGCAGACCUCCAUGUGGCCAGCAUGGGGUUGGGAGAACUUUACAAACAUUAGGACCUAACACUGUCUCAUCGCUGAAAUAAGAGGCCAUAGCACCGAAAAGCAGCAUGGGCGCCGGCUGAGGCUUCUCCCAGCCCGUGGGUGGCAGCGUGCUAGCACACUGCCACCAUUUCAAAGCCAUCCCCCUAGCCAUCGUGAGCAUCCCAGCGGCACCACCAUUGUCUCAACCAGCCGGCUCCUCAUCCGUACACCUGGGGAUUUCUUUUGAUUUCAAGAACAGCCUUAAUCAUUCCAGUUUGAUUUACGUGUAUACCUCAUAAACAUUUUUCUUUUGUUUCUCUCUUCCCCUUUCUCUCUUCUCUUGGCUCACUCCCUUGCCUCUCCCCCUCCAACACCACCUUGUGACUGAUGGUUCGGUUUCCUCUCUGCUCUGCCCCUGCUCAGCACAGGGAGAAUGCUGACUUAGAAGCAAUAGGGGGCAGCAGGCCACCAAGAGCACAACCCCAGGGCGAGGUCUAGGGAGGCCCCCCAGCCUGCCUCUGUUUACUGUGCAAUUCCAGUCCUUCUUAAGCCAUCACCAGUGGGUGUACUCAGAGCAGAGGGGCCAGGACUUCUGCCAGCCAAGGGAAAGGCCCAGAGCCCUGUACGGGGGAAUGUGGCACUCUCUAUCCAUCUGGUGGACUGGGCGGCAUUCCUCCCCAAGGCCCUUCCCUUGGGGGCCUCCUUUCAUCUGGGGCACAGCCACAAGUCUCAUCUCUAACGUUCUAUGCAAUGAAAUAUAAACCCUCAAUGACAACUGUUAAUAUUUAAUAAAUUCCAUGUUAUGUAUAAGGAGUUAAUUGCAAACACGCAAUUGAGAAACUGGAUAGAUAAGCUCAUAUCACCCCCACCCCCCUACCCACCCCUGCUCCCAUUGUGUGUGUGAAAUUCUCAGUCUGUGGCAUGUUUGACCUGUGGCAGGACUCGCUGCUGCCAGGUGAGUCACCGCCUGUCCCGCAGUGGAGCAUGCACAGCUCGCAGCCUCUUUGCACGAUUUCAUCCAUUUUAAAUGCUCGACCCUCUUGCUUGGAGUUCUUUUUGCCUCAGAACCUCUCCUUCAGGAGCACUUCUAGUUGACUUCUGCACAAGCUAGUGAGGACCUGCCAGAAUUGUUGCCUGAGCGUGCCAGGCUGCAGGGCAGGCAGUACAAGGCCCCCACAUACCCUGCAGUUUUCUCUGUCCAGGAUAGCAGGUAAAAAGGAGUCCCCAGAGCAGACUCAAUGGUAGGAGCCUGCACAGGAUGUGUGUGUAUGGACAUUCUGAAGGUUUGCUGUAGGAUUUCUGUCUGUCUGUCAUUUUUCCCUUCCUACCCCAACCCUGAGCCAGAGGCAUCUGACAGCCCUUUCCCAGAGGGCACUACACAAGGGCAGAGCUGGGCAGCAUCCAUGGCCAGAGAGGCAGAGGCAAGAGUAGAGCCAGGCUGUGCCUGAGGGACCCCAGCUCUAGAUUGCACCUGUUUCAUGCCUCUCCUCUGUGGCUAGGAGGCUCAAAGGACUGUAAGGCAGGAGAUCUGGGCUGGAGCUAGGGGGUCAAAGGAUGCUCAGGAAGAGCUGGGCCUUUGGCACUUGUGGUGAGAACAGUUGACAAUGGUCAUCUGCAACUGUUCAUAUAAACAAUGGCUUCAAGCUAAGUUUCUUGUGAAGUUUCUCAAUAGCAAAUCUUACAGAAGGUCCUGUGUGACCCUCUCUGCAUCUGUCCCCAAGAUCUAUGCUCCCUGCCCACCCCCUUCUCCAAAGCCCAAGCGUCCCGCUGCUCAUCAGCUUUUUUUUACCACUGAGCCAGGAGUGUGACAGGCAGUAGCUGCCUGGCCCUUCAAGGCCUGACCUUCAUCCAGAGUGCUCUGGUUUGCACGAUGCAUUUCUCAGGGGUCCGCAUUUCUCAUGCUUUUCUAUAAGGUCUACACAUCCCUUCAGAGAGGGCUCCUCACUCACCUCUGGUAGCUAUGGAUGGGACAGGAAGCUGCCAACCUUUGUGUUGGACUUAACAACCUUGCCUUUCUGGAACUUGACCUCACCCAACCCAUGGAAUACCUGCCUCAUCCCAGAGAUCAGGUAUGGACUGAAUGCAGCCAUCUGAGCAAGGGCUGAGGGAAGCCAUCAUCUAACACCUCUGGCCACCCAGGACCAGGUCUGUGUGGGGAUGUGCCUUGGAGACCAAGGCAAUAGUCCUUUCCAUUACAGGCCAGGGGAUGGGACAAGAAGCAGGGAACAGGCAGGGAAAUGUUAGGAGGUCAGCCUCCAGCAGGCCCAGUCUCAACGCUCUAAAGUACUGACUUUUCAGCAAAUUUCCUUACUGGCAAAGCCCUCUGAGUUGGAAAUUCUGACAUCUGCCACUCCUCAUCCCUCACUGUACCCACAGGAUACAUCAUCGCCCCUCUGUGAAGGUGGCUGGAGCAGGCCUCUGGUCCAUGGACUGUCCUUCCUGGCCCUUGCAUGGAUGCAGUUGUGACUCUGGGGACAAUGCAGCCAGAAGCUGAGGGACCAGCAUUCGGUGCCUUGGAAAGUAGAGAGCAACAGACACAUCUCCAAAUGGGCAAGGAGUCUCUAGCAUGCAGCCCAGGCCUUCUCCAUACCCCUCUCCCCAGCAUCAUGAGCAAGGGCAUUGCCUCCUCUCUCUGCCCACUUCAGGGCCCAGUGCACUCACUUCACAGUGACAGAUCUCCCCCUACCAUCAUCCUUUUAGUCCUUGGGCAGAGCAUGUGGUCUCAGGGCCCACAGUGAAAGAACAGCAGUGGUGGCAACUAUGCCUUGUCUUCUGGAGCCUGUAGGGAGUUUUCCAGGCAGGUCCUUUGCCAUGACAGCAUGGUCUGGCCCUGUUGGCCCCUCCCCUCUCCUGUUACCCACCCCCGUGCUGUAAAUACUUGUCAUCAUGGACUCCAACAGGGUCAGAGGGACAGGCCUAAUCAACUGAAACUCCUCGGAGAUGCCAUCUCUGUCUCCCUGGGUGCCAGCAGCCCUGCUGCCAUGUGCACUGGGGUGGCACUGGAGAGCCAUGGAAGUUGUGAGAUAUUGUGUGUAUAUGCACAUGACGUGUGUGUGUGUGUGUGUGUGUGUGUGUGUGUGUGUGUGUAUGUUUCUGCCUCAUUCAGUUUCCGGGGUGAAAUCAGCUCCUUUUCUCCAAAUGCACUACCCUGGAGAGUGGUGGCCACUCAAUACCUUUUCCUCUAGCUUUCAUGUCUUGUUUUUGCUUUCCCCUUCCUCCUCCCUCUCUCCCUUUCUUUCCUUCUCUCCUUUAUUUGAGGGGGGAAGAGUGCUGUACAAAGUCAAACAAACAAGUUUACAGUUGUAAGUGCAAUGACCCGAGUCCUCCACAUGACCUUGUGAAUUGUGUGCUGUCCUCCUGUGCUCUGUGAGAACUCGUGGUACUUCAGUGUCCCUCCCCCUGUAUUGUGACAAGGUAAUUCUGUGGUAUCAGAAUAAAAGGACUUGACAUAAACAAUCUA